RNAcentral lists this transfer RNA (74 nucleotides) under Stegodyphus mimosarum. It matches the Rfam family "tRNA". From Rfam's summary of the family: Transfer RNA (tRNA) molecules are approximately 80 nucleotides in length. Their secondary structure includes four short double-helical elements and three loops (D, anti-codon, and T loops). Further hydrogen bonds mediate the characteristic L-shaped molecular structure. tRNAs have two regions of fundamental functional importance: the anti-codon, which is responsible for specific mRNA codon recognition, and the 3' end, to which the tRNAs corresponding amino acid is attached (by aminoacyl-tRNA synthetases). tRNAs cope with the degeneracy of the genetic code in two manners: having more than one tRNA (with a specific anti-codon) for a particular amino acid; and 'wobble' base-pairing, i.e. permitting non-standard base-pairing at the 3rd anti-codon position. The record is from Rfam by way of RNAcentral. Lineage: Eukaryota; Metazoa; Arthropoda; Arachnida; Araneae; Eresidae.
GCCUUCGUGGUGUAAUGGUCAAGCACACUCAGCGCGUAUUCGAAAGGUCAGUGGUUCGAGUCCCGGCGAAGGCA